This is a non-coding RNA of Trichonephila inaurata madagascariensis, 72 nucleotides long. NCBI's taxonomy places the organism in Eukaryota, Metazoa, Arthropoda, Arachnida, Araneae, Nephilidae. The record is from the annotation of a GenBank genome assembly.
GUCCCCGUAGCGCAAGCGACAGCGCGUUGGACUUCUAAUCCAAAGGUGAUUGUGGUUCGAAUACCUGGGAUG